UACGUAGGGGGCAAGCGUUGUCCGGAAUCAUUGGGCGUAAAGAGCGUGUAGGCGGCCAGAUAAGUCCGCUGUGAAAUCUCGAGGCUCAACUUCGAGCUGUCGGUGGAAACUGUCUGGCUAGAGUCCGGAAGAGGAGAAUGGAAUUCCUGGUGUAGCGGUGAAAUGCGCAGAUAUCAGGAAGAACACCCGUGGCGAAAGCGGCUCUCUGGGACGGUACUGACGCUGAGACGCGAAAGCGUGGGGAGCGAACAGG
Molecule: ribosomal RNA, 253 nt
Filed under: uncultured bacterium
Lineage: Bacteria
Description: partial 16S ribosomal RNA
Rfam family: Bacterial small subunit ribosomal RNA
Source: RNAcentral